GUUCGUUUCUGUGUGUAUUACAUUAUAACGUUGUGACGUUUGUUUUCUCUUAUUUUUGAGUGUAAAUUCACAUUGCGAUAAGACGUGUCACGGUACUUGUCUAUCCCAAAUUCAUGUAUUUGGUUUUGAUGUUAUAUAUAUAUGUUAUAUUUGUUAUUCUCGUGGGAUUUUGUCUAUAUGUGUUACAUUUUAGUGUUAUGUCGUUGUUCUCCUCUUAUAUUUAAUGCGUUUCCCUCGGUUUUAGUUUGUUAUCCCGAUUUUGUUUUUUGUCCAUGGAUUUAUGAGUUUUGAACAGCGGUAUACUACUGUUGCCUUUAUUUACACA
Molecule: long non-coding RNA, 325 nt
Filed under: Mytilus galloprovincialis (Mediterranean mussel)
Lineage: Eukaryota; Metazoa; Mollusca; Bivalvia; Mytilida; Mytilidae
Source: RNAcentral